GUAGUUAGCCGGGGCUUCCUCCUUGGCUACCGUCACUUCUUCGUCACCAAGAACAGAGGUUUACAAUCCGAAAACCUUCUUCCCUCACGCGGCGUUGCUGGGUCAGGCUUGCGCCCAUUGCCCAAUAUUCCCCACUGCUGCCUCCCGUAGGAGUCUGGACCGUGUCUCAGUUCCAGUGUGGCCGAUCAGCCUCUCAGCUCGGCUACCCAUCGUUGACUAGGUGGGCCGUUACCCCGCCUACUAUCUAAUGGGACGCGAGCCCCUCCUUCUGCGAAUUGCUCCUUUGACCUCUCUGCCAUGCGACAGUGUGGUCUUAUGCGGUAUUAGCAACAAUUUCUUGUUGUUAUCCCCCUCAGAAGGACAGGUUGCUCACGCGUUACUCACCCGUUCGCCACUAAGCUACCAAUCGAAGUCAAUAGCUCCGUUCGACUUGCAUGUGUUAGGCACGCCGCCAGCGUUCGUCCUGAGCCAGGAUCAAACUACUGA
RNAcentral lists this ribosomal RNA (486 nucleotides) under uncultured bacterium. RNAcentral's name for it is "partial 16S ribosomal RNA". The record is from RNAcentral.